GGAUGCGAUCAUACCAGCACUAAAGCACCGGAUCCCAUCAGAACUUCGAAGUUAAGCAUGCUUGGGUGACAGUAGUACUAGGAUGGGUGACCUCUUGGGAAGUCCUCGUGUUGCAUUCC
This 119-nucleotide ribosomal RNA is filed under the name Triticum aestivum (bread wheat). The record is from RNAcentral. Lineage: Eukaryota; Viridiplantae; Streptophyta; Magnoliopsida; Poales; Poaceae.